This is a long non-coding RNA of Papilio polytes (common Mormon), 894 nucleotides long. RefSeq lists it as uncharacterized. The transcript has 3 exons. The record is from RefSeq and is a predicted model, not a curated record. NCBI's taxonomy places the organism in Eukaryota, Metazoa, Arthropoda, Insecta, Lepidoptera, Papilionidae.
UUAUUGUUUGAUUCGAUUUCUUCAGUUAACAAGUUGAAAGGGAUAACAUGAAGUGUGCUGUCGCCAUAGUGCUUGCCCUGUUCGGCCUUUCAGUGGCCAAUCCAGUUGGUCAUGUGAAGGGAUUCGCGGCGAAGAGAUCCUUACGCGUUAAGAAAUUACACCAGCAUAAACCUCGAUGGAUUGGACUCUAACACAUCUAUACAACCCCGUAAUAUCUAGUUACUCAGGUUGAAGUUGAUAUAGAUAGAAUAAAGACGCACUCAUAGACCCGUUUUCUACUAAACAAUUACCAAGCUAUCCUUGAAAAGCGAGGAACUAUUUCUUAAAUGGAUUUUAGAGGUGAACAUAUCUAAAAAUGUGAGAUUGUAAUUCUGAAAAUACACAAAAAUAUGCCUAAGGUCCAAGGCCAUGUCAGUACCGGUUCUAUGUUCUACUAUCGCCCUGGGCGAGAUUAAUACAGCGCCCUAUUUUUUACCAUGACUGAGGGAAGGUAUUUAAGUGUUGUGUCAAUGUAAUUUGCAGACUUACAAGGAGUACACUCCUUUAUAUCAAGCGUCCUGGGCGGCUCAAAGCGCCGUAUCCUAACGCUGUCACUGUCUACAGUCGCGAGCGAUUAUUUGCUUAGUGAAAAUAGGGUCUAAGUAAUAUUUAUUUCACAGUCACAUCACCAGCUGUCUCAGGAUAUACAAGCGUGAUCAACCAUGGUAUAACCGUACCAGUCAUCCAAAUACCACGGGUUUAUAUUGUACCUAAAGUGCAUGUACCAAUCAUAACCUCUAUUUACCCCAGCUUGGGUCACGGCUGGUACGGUCACUGAUUUUAAUAAAUAAAUCAAAAUACUACUUCGCCAAUCGAUUUCUUUAACCAAUUGUUCAAUAAAAUGUUUACGAUCUG